This 294-nucleotide ribosomal RNA is filed under the name uncultured bacterium. Its description in RNAcentral is "partial 16S ribosomal RNA". It matches the Rfam family "Bacterial small subunit ribosomal RNA", at positions 335 to 643 of the family's 1533-position model. The record is from RNAcentral.
UUCCCCACGGGACGCAGCAGUGGGGAAUAUUGGGCAAUGGGCGCAAGCCUGACCCAGCAACGCCGCGUGAAGGAAGAAGGCUUGCGGGUUGUAAACUGCUUUUCUCAGGGACGAAGCAAGUGACGGUACCUGACGAAUAAGCCACGGCUAACUACGUGCCAGCAGCCGCGGUAAUACGUAGGUGGCAAGCGUUAUCCGGAUUUAUUGGGUGUAAAGGGCGUGUAGGCGGGAAUGCAAGUCAGAUGUGAAAACUAUGGGCUCAACCCAUAGCCUGCAUUUGAAACUGUAUUUCUU